RNAcentral lists this ribosomal RNA (33 nucleotides) under Aconitum orientale. RNAcentral describes it as "partial 5.8S ribosomal RNA". Lineage: Eukaryota; Viridiplantae; Streptophyta; Magnoliopsida; Ranunculales; Ranunculaceae. RNAcentral also lists the same sequence under 7 other names. The record is from RNAcentral.
UUAGGUCGAGGGCACGUCUGCCUGGGCGUCACA